UGGGGAGUGGCUCAGGGGUAGAGCUUGCUUUGCAUGUGCAAGGCCCCGGGUUCCAUCCCCAGCACUGCAA
This 70-nucleotide transfer RNA is filed under the name Marmota monax (woodchuck). RNAcentral describes it as "tRNA.Cys". The record is from RNAcentral. Lineage: Eukaryota; Metazoa; Chordata; Mammalia; Rodentia; Sciuridae.